This 68-nucleotide transfer RNA is filed under the name Trichosia lengersdorfi. RNAcentral's name for it is "tRNA-Trp". The record is from RNAcentral. Lineage: Eukaryota; Metazoa; Arthropoda; Insecta; Diptera; Sciaridae.
AAAAUUUUAAGUUAAAAAAACUAAUUGCCUUCAAAGCUUUAAAUAUAAUUUUUUUUUUUUAAAUUUUA